Molecule: long non-coding RNA, 567 nt
Filed under: Ananas comosus (pineapple)
Lineage: Eukaryota; Viridiplantae; Streptophyta; Magnoliopsida; Poales; Bromeliaceae
Description: long non-coding RNA (ACOM_LNC000713)
Source: RNAcentral
AAUUAGAAGAAAUAAAAAAAUAUAAACUUUGGUGACUAAUUUAAAGAUCAGCUAUAAUGGAAGAUAUAUACAUACGCACUACCAGAACUAAGAUGAUAUAAAUAGUUUAAAAAAAUAUAAGAAAAACAAUAUAAACGAUAUAAAUAGUAAAAAAAAGAUAUAAAAAGAAAAAAAUAGAAGUAUGUUUUGGACUUUUUUGAUAUUAAAUCUCUUAGUGAAUUUCUCCUCACCUGUUGAUUCUAGAAGGCACAGUAGAAAAAAUGAUACCAAAAGAAAAAAAUAGAAGUAUGUUUGAGACUUUUUUGAGAUUAAAUCUCUUAGUGAAAUUCUUCUCAUCUGCUUAUUUUGGAAGGCACAUUCUUAGAAGACAUGAUCAUAAUUAGAGUAUCUUUUUCAAAGAAGAAGAUUUCUGAAUCAGCAACAACAAUUUUCCAUCAAUUAUUUGAGGGGAAAAAAAGAUACUUGGAAACGAAAAAAAUUUAAAGUUCUUGUAAGUUUUGUUACGAAUUAAGAAAAAAAAGGAUACCUUAAUUCUCUUUAUAAUCACGGUAAAUAGAGAAUCAAAAA